This 493-nucleotide ribosomal RNA is filed under the name uncultured bacterium. Its description in RNAcentral is "partial 16S ribosomal RNA". It matches the Rfam family "Bacterial small subunit ribosomal RNA", at positions 28 to 506 of the family's 1533-position model. The record is from RNAcentral.
GACGAACGCUGGCGGCGUGCUUAACACAUGCAAGUCGAACGGUGAAGCGCCUUCCUUUUUGGUGGGUGUGGAUGAGUGGCGAACGGGUGAGUAACACGUGAGUAACCUGCCCCCUUCUUCUUGAUAACCGCAUGAAAGUGUUGCUAAUACGGGAUAUUCUGGUUCUGUCGCAUGAUGGGUCUGGGAAAGAUUUUGUUUCGGUUGUGGAUGGGCUCGCGGCCUAUCAGCUUGUUGGUGGUUUGAUGGCCUACCAAGGCGGGGACUGGUAGCCGGCCUGAGAGGGUGGACGGUCAGAAAGGGAGUGAGACACGGAACAGACUCGUAAGGGAGGCAGCAGUGGGGAAUAGUGCAAAAUGGGAGCAAGCCUGAUGAAGCGAAGCCGCGUGAGGGAUGGAGGGCUUCGGGUAGGGAACCUCUUUCGCAAGUGAAGCAGGCCUGCGUCGAUUGUGGGUGGGUUGACGGUAGAGGGAUAAGAAGCGUCGGCUAACUACGU